CUCCUGGAAACGGGUGGUAAUGCCGGAUGUUCCACAUGAGCGCAUGCGAGUGUGGGAAAGGCUUUUUGCGGCAUGGGAUGGGGUCGCGUCCUAUCAGCUUGUUGGUGGGGUAACGGCCUACCAAGGCGUUGACGGGUAGCCGGCCUGAGAGGGCGACCGGCCACAUUGGGACUGAGAUACGGCCCAGACUCCUACGGGAGGCAGCAGUGGGGAAUAUUGCACAAUGGGCGCAAGCCUGAUGCAGCGACGCCGCGUGCGGGAUGGAGGCCUUCGGGUUGUAAACCGCUUUUGUUCAAGGGCAAGGCACGGUUUCGGCCGUGUUGAGUGGAUUGUUCGAAUAAGCACCGGCUAACUACGUGCCAGCAGCCGCGGUAAUACGUAGGGUGCAAGCGUUAUCCGGAUUUAUUGGGCGUAAAGGGCUCGUAGGCGGUUCGUCGCGUCCGGUGUGAAAGUCCAUCGCUUAACGGUGGAUCCGCGCCGGGUACGGGCGCGCUUGAGUGCGGUAGGGGAGACUGGAAUUCCUCGGUGUAACGGUGGAAUGUGUAGAUAUCGGGAAGAACACCC
RNAcentral lists this ribosomal RNA (564 nucleotides) under uncultured Bifidobacterium sp. RNAcentral's name for it is "bacterial SSU rRNA". It matches the Rfam family "Bacterial small subunit ribosomal RNA", at positions 147 to 711 of the family's 1533-position model. Lineage: Bacteria; Bacillati; Actinomycetota; Actinomycetes; Bifidobacteriales; Bifidobacteriaceae. The record is from RNAcentral.